GCGCAGGAAAAGAAACCAACAGGGAUUACCUCAGUAACGGCGAGUGAAGCGGUAACAGCUCAAAUUUGAAAUCUGGCCUCACGGUCCGAAUUGUAAUUUGUAGAGGAUGUUUCGAGCAUGGUCUGGCCUAAGUUCCUUGGAACAGGACGUCAUAGAGGGUGAGAAUCCCGUAUGCGGUCAGGUGCCUACGCUCAUGUGAAACUCCUUCGACGAGUCGAGUUGUUUGGGAAUGCAGCUCAAAAUGGGUGGUAAAUUUCAUCUAAAGCUAAAUAUUGGCCAGAGACCGAUAGCGCACAAGUAGAGUGAUCGAAAGAUGAAAAGCACUUUGGAAAGAGAGUUAAACAGUACGCGAAAUUGUUGAAAGGGAAGCGCUUGCAACCAGACUUGCACGCAGCUAAUCAUCCGGUGUUCUCACCGGUGCACUUGGUUGCGUUCAGGCCAGCAUCGGUUUCGGCGGUGGGAUAAAGGCCUUAGGAAUGUAGCUGCUCUCGGGCAGUGUUAUAGCCUAGGGUGCAAUGCCGCCUGCUGGGGCCGAGGACCGCGCUUCGGCUAGGAUGCUGGCGUAAUGGUUAUAAGCGGCCCGUCUUGAAACACGGACCAAGGAGUCUAACAUCUAUGCGAGUGUUUGGGUGUCAAACCCAUACGCGUAAUGAAAGUGAACGGAGGUGAGAACCCUUACGGUGCAUCAUCGACCGAUCCUGAUGUUCUCGGAUGGAUUUGA
This 721-nucleotide ribosomal RNA is filed under the name uncultured Leuconeurospora. RNAcentral's name for it is "eukaryotic LSU rRNA". It matches the Rfam family "Eukaryotic large subunit ribosomal RNA", at positions 50 to 793 of the family's 3401-position model. Lineage: Eukaryota; Fungi; Ascomycota; Sordariomycetes; Hypocreales. The record is from RNAcentral.